Long non-coding RNA from Lactuca sativa (garden lettuce), 1633 nucleotides. RefSeq lists it as uncharacterized. The record is from RefSeq and is a predicted model, not a curated record. NCBI's taxonomy places the organism in Eukaryota, Viridiplantae, Streptophyta, Magnoliopsida, Asterales, Asteraceae.
GUGUGUGUGUGUUAAUGUGUGUGUGAGAGAGUGAGAGAGAGAUGAAUAAGUCAACUUUGAAUAGCUGGAAGAAAGCUACAAAUCCUCACUACUGUUGAGAUCUCUCUCUAUAUAUGGUGAUACUGUUACAAACGGAAAAGAUGCAUAGUUCCUCUCUAUUUCUUCUCCUCUCCUCUAUCUUAAUUAGGGUUGAGGCCGCAGGGUCAUUUUGGAGCCAUAAAAAUAACUUUUCACCAAAAGUUUGAGUCUUGUUGCACCCUUUGUUCGAUGAGUUCUUGUGUUCAUGUUGGUUUGAGAGAUUGAAGCUGCCAGCAUGAUCUGGAAGUGCCAAACCGUGUCUCCUUUUUGUGCUUGUGCUAUAUAUAUAGAUAAUUUAUAGGCUAGAUAUAUAUAUGUUCAGUUGUCUUUUUGUGGGUUUUUAGUGUUGUGUUAAUAUACAUGUGUUUAGGGGUAGGGUAAGGGGAGGAUAAUUACCAGGUCAUCCUUGCAGCUUCAAUCACUCAUGCCCAACAAUUUUUCAUACAGAGGAAACAUGAAGAAUUUCCUUCAACACUGUGUUGUCUUUUUCAUGUUCUUGUUAAUUAGCAGUGGCCAAUUACAAAUCUACACAAGUUUAUUUUAGUAGGCAUCUGGUGAUCACAGUGGCCUGUUUGUUCCAUUCAUAUGGUGACAAAAAUCACAUUUCUAGAGUGAACUUUCUGUAAGUGGGAAAACAUCUGGAGUGAGUUCGGAACAAGUCUUUAUAGCCAUAGUCUACACUUUUCCGCAUGGAAUUCAAGGUUUAGCAUACCCUCUCUCAGAUCAUUGUUUGAAUCUAUUCUUCAUUCUGAUUUACAUGGAUGUACAAAUCGGUGAAGCAUCACAACAACCCAACAAGGAUGCUACGCAAAGGCUGAAGAAACUGAUGGUCGGUCUGCGAUCGGAGUUCGGAGGGCAUGAGUCUGCAAUAGGUAUGUGGACGAUUGUGAUGGAAGACGAUGGUGAUUGGUGGCGGUAUUGGAGGUUGAAGAUGACAGACGGUUUCCAAAUCGCAUGGAGGUUGGAAGCCAUCUUGCUUGGAAGCCAACGAUUGAAGGGACGGGGUGAGAGACACACACAACAACAAAAAAUAGCUCUGUUCAUGACUCGAAGGGGAAGAGACCACCGGAACCCCUAUAUCUCGAUUUUUAAUUUCUUUUGGGCCCUACACACAGGAUACAUAUUGCCUCUAUUUUCAACCAAUUUAGCACAACACAUAACCAUUUGAAGAAAACUCUGGUCUUCUACCGAGGCAAAGCCCCAAAACGGGUCUAAAACCAAUUGGAUCAUGCAUGAGUACAAGCUUGCAAAUUCUAUUAAGAAUUGCAUGAUUUUAGGUUGUUUUUGAAGAAAAGUGGAAGAAAAAUUGGUGAGAACGAUGUUAGAUGAAGGUGAUCUCUCAUGGCAGUUGAAGGUGAAGAGAGCAGUAAAUAUAUACACAGGGAAUUUAAGAAUUUGUUGCUGAGUAUCAGUACCCUUUUUUUUAAACUCAGGAAGCUAGUCAAAGUCUGUAAUCGGAAGUUUUUUUACAUUGUGUUCGUGAACUUGAAUCUAAACAUGAUGACAGGUAGAGAAGAAUGAGAGAAAGGUUUAUGAGAUGGCAAGUUUCAUUAAA